RNAcentral lists this non-coding RNA (24 nucleotides) under Mus musculus (house mouse). Lineage: Eukaryota; Metazoa; Chordata; Mammalia; Rodentia; Muridae. The record is from RNAcentral. RNAcentral also lists the same sequence under 1 other name.
UGAGUUGGGAUUGCUUCUCCUGUU